CUCAUCAUUUCCCCUACGAUCACCGAAGUUAAGCAACGUCGAGCCUGGUCAGUACCUAUAUAAGUGACCGCUUGGGUAUACCAGGUGUUGUAAG
Molecule: non-coding RNA, 94 nt
Organism: Acanthosepion pharaonis
Lineage: Eukaryota; Metazoa; Mollusca; Cephalopoda; Sepiida; Sepiidae
Source: the annotation of a GenBank genome assembly